GUACACACAGAGCAGCUUGAUACAGUCAGUCAUCACCUAGAAGAUCUGGACGGUCCUCCCUACAAGAGUUGCUGAGGUGUGCAGGUGAAAUGCUGUGAGGUGAAAUGCUGUGAGGGGAAAUGCUGUGAGGGGAAAUGCUGUGAGGGGAAAUGCUGUGAGGGGAAAUGCUGUGAGGGGAAAUGCUGUGAGGUGAAAUGCUGUGAGGGGAAAUGCUGUGAGGUGAAAUGCUGUGAGGUGAAAUGCUGUGAGGGGAAAUGCUGUGAGGUGAAAUGCUGUGAGGGGAAAUGCUGUGAGGUGAAAUGCUGUGAGGGGAAAUGCUGUGAGGGGAAAUGCUGUGAGGGGAAAUGCUGUGAGGGGAAAUGCUGUGAGGGGAAAUGCUGUGAGGUGAAAUGCUGUGAGGGGAAAUGCUGUGAGGUGAAAUGCUGUGAGGGGAAAUGCUGUGAGGGGAAAUGCUGUGAGGUGAAAUGCUGUGAGGGGAAAUGCUGUGAGGGGAAAUGCUGUGAGGUGAAAUGCUGUGAGGGGAAAUGCUGUGAGGGGAAAUGCUGUGAGGG
Brienomyrus brachyistius is the source of this 551-nucleotide long non-coding RNA. RefSeq lists it as uncharacterized. NCBI's taxonomy places the organism in Eukaryota, Metazoa, Chordata, Actinopteri, Osteoglossiformes, Mormyridae. The transcript is spliced from 6 exons. The record is from RefSeq and is a predicted model, not a curated record.